RNAcentral lists this long non-coding RNA (243 nucleotides) under Vigna radiata. RNAcentral describes it as "long non-coding RNA (VRAD_LNC015254)". The record is from RNAcentral. Lineage: Eukaryota; Viridiplantae; Streptophyta; Magnoliopsida; Fabales; Fabaceae.
UUGAUAGACUAUGCUGAUGCAUGAUACUGAUGCUUGACUGUGAAAUUAUGCUUGAGAUUGUGCAGUUGAGUUCAAAUUGUGGUUGUUUUCAUCAUGAGCUAUCUGAGAAUGCUUUUUGUUUAAAUGCGAUCAAUAUUCAGGGCAGUUGCCUAAUGAUGUUUGUGGAACCUUGAGUUAAUCCUGUGAGAUGUUGUGCCUUAAAUUUUUCUUGAGAAUGCUAUCAUGAUAGAUCACAACUGACUU